Molecule: ribosomal RNA, 182 nt
Filed under: uncultured bacterium
Lineage: Bacteria
Description: partial 16S ribosomal RNA
Rfam family: Bacterial small subunit ribosomal RNA
Source: RNAcentral
UGAAGCUGGAGUUACUAGUAAUCGCAGAUCAGAAUGCUGCGGUGAAUGCGUUCCCGGGUCUUGUACACACCGCCCGUCACACCACGGAAGUUGGGGGCGCCCGAAGCCACUUAGCUAACCCUUUUGGGAAGCGAGUGUCGAAGGUGAAAUCAAUAACUGGGGUGAAGUCGUAACAAGGUAAC